This 649-nucleotide ribosomal RNA is filed under the name Piloderma cf. olivaceum UC2022971. Its description in RNAcentral is "eukaryotic LSU rRNA". The stretch from base 259 to 413 matches the Rfam family "5.8S ribosomal RNA". Lineage: Eukaryota; Fungi; Basidiomycota; Agaricomycetes; Atheliales; Atheliaceae. The record is from RNAcentral.
AGAGGAAGUAAAAGUCGUAACAAGGUUUCCGUAGGUGAACCUGCGGAAGGAUCAUUAUUGAAAUUAUAGGCGAGGGUUGUAGCUGGCCUCCCGGGGCAUGUGCACGCCUGAGCCCUUAAUCCCACACACACCUGUGAACCUAUUGUAAGGGCCCGUAAAAAAGGCCUUUACGUCUUUAUCACCUACACGAAAGUCUCAAUAGAAUGUAAAUGUAAUGUCCUCGCCUUAAAAAAGCGUUGAUAAAAAAAAAAGUUAUACAACUUUCAACAACGGAUCUCUUGGCUCUCGCAUCGAUGAAGAACGCAGCGAAAUGCGAUAAGUAAUGUGAAUUGCAGAUUUUCAGUGAAUCAUCGAAUCUUUGAACGCACCUUGCGCUCCUUGGUAUUCCGAGGAGCAUGCCUGUUUGAGUGUCAUUAAAUUCUCAAACUCUGAUUGAUUUUGUUUCGGUCAGAGCUUUGGAUUUGGAGCGUGCUGGCGUCAGUCGGCUCCUCUUGAAUGCAUCAGCGGAAUCCCAUUCAUUUCGGACGUCAGUGUGAUAAUCAUGUUGCGCUGUCUCUUGCCGAUCUUGAAAGCCCGCUCACAAUGGUCUUCGGACAAACCUCACAUAUCAAAUUUGACCUCAAAUCAGGUAGGACUACCCGCUGAACUU